RNAcentral lists this long non-coding RNA (294 nucleotides) under Medicago truncatula (barrel medic). RNAcentral's name for it is "long non-coding RNA (MTRU_LNC004627)". The record is from RNAcentral. Lineage: Eukaryota; Viridiplantae; Streptophyta; Magnoliopsida; Fabales; Fabaceae.
CGAAUUGAUUGAGAGACAAAUGUCCCUCAAUUGUUAUUUCUUUAACUACUCUACUAGAGAAGAUGGGUUAGAGAGAGAAAUAUGGAAUAGUGUGAAGCGUGGAUUGUGUCUUAUUCUUCAAAGCAAUGUGACGAGGUUAAUUGUCUUUUUUCUUAUUAUGAUUCGUAUUUGUGAAUUUUGUGAUCUUAUCUUCUUAAACACGAUUUACUGUUGAUGUUGUUGUUACAUUUGUGUACCAUGUUUGUGAUCGUGUCCUAAUCUUCAAAGCAAUGUAUGAGGCUACUUACCUUUUCU